Molecule: unclassified non-coding RNA, 355 nt
Filed under: plant metagenome
Description: partial contains small subunit ribosomal RNA, internal transcribed spacer 1, and 5.8S ribosomal RNA
Source: RNAcentral
UUUCCGUAGGUGAACCUGCGGAAGGAUCAUUAUCGAAUCUUCAAACCUUUUGAUUAGGUGUUGGACGAGAGCCGGCUAUGUUGGAAUAUCAUCUAGCAUCCCCUCCGCUCGGCCAGCUCUAUCCAAUUUAACCCCAUUGUGUGAACCGUUUUAUUAGUGUUGACGUUCAAGCGUGUGUUCCUGAUAUGAUUUGACUAUAUCGCUCGUUUCUACACGCUUGCCCGUCAUCACUCAUUAUCGACUCCUAACAAAAAAUACAACAACCCUUGAUGGUCUUAAAAUGCUUCUGUGAUUUUUUCUUAAAUUACAUUUAAAAAUAAAAAAACAACUUUUAACAACGGAUCUCUAGGCUCUC